AGGACUGUGCCCCAGGCUUCAGUGCAGAAUAAAUUACUUUACACUGAGGGAAGGAUCACUAGCAUGUCACUCCCCAACCUUCUGUGGGCACUCACAGCCCUCACCUACCUUGGACCUGGUACGGCAGAGACAGUCACUCAGACCCCAUCAGUGAUAUCUAUGCAGGAGGGGAAGGCUGUAACUCUCAACUGCAAGUAUUCCACCAGUGCCACUGCUUAUUAUUUGCACUGGUACAAACAGUCUCCUAGUGGGGAAAUGAUUUUCCUAAUUUAUCAGGAUUCUUACAGCACAAAGAAUGCAAGACAAGAACGAUAUUCUGUGAACUUCCAGAGAGCAGACAGCUCCAUCAGUCUAAAGAUCUCUGACUUAAAGCUGGAGGAUUCCUCCGUGUAUUUCUGUGCUCUGGAUGAGCCACAGUAA
Molecule: non-coding RNA, 420 nt
Organism: Sarcophilus harrisii (Tasmanian devil)
Lineage: Eukaryota; Metazoa; Chordata; Mammalia; Dasyuromorphia; Dasyuridae
Source: the annotation of a RefSeq genome assembly